Sciurus carolinensis (gray squirrel) is the source of this 610-nucleotide long non-coding RNA. RefSeq lists it as uncharacterized. NCBI's taxonomy places the organism in Eukaryota, Metazoa, Chordata, Mammalia, Rodentia, Sciuridae. The record is from RefSeq and is a predicted model, not a curated record. The transcript has 3 exons.
GCUGGUCUUGAACUUGGGAUCCUCCUGCCAUAGUCUUCUGAGUUUCUGGGAUCACAGAAACCACUAAGAUUGCAGAAAUCCUUUAUCCACCUUCACAGUGGUCAUAAAAAAUAAAUGCCAAGAGGCCUGGACUUUAUCCUUUACUAUUCAUUAGAUUUAUAACCCUGGGAAACAUAAUCAGCAUGAAAAUACUGGUCAAAGCUUCCACAGCCUGUCCUGGGGAAUCUGAUCCUGAUGUUCCUGCAAUCAAGAUUCAGUGGACUUUCAUCAUAGAAGAACUCAAAUAUUUAGAAGAACUAAACGCAAUUAUUUUAUUUGUCUGAACUAAUACUUUAUACAGGAACAAAGCUGAAGAUACAGCCUUCAGUGAGUCUUCUAUAGACUUUUCAAAAAAUGAGGCUCAAGAAUGUUUAUGAACCACCAUAUAACCCAGCUAUCCCACUCCCUGCUAUUUAUCCAAAAGAACUAAAACCAGCAUACUUUAGCAAUAGUUACUUCAAUGUUUAUAACAGCACAAUUCAAAAUAGCCAAAUUAUGGAAUCAACUCAGAUGCUUGUCAAUAGAUGAAUGGAUCAAGAAAAUGUGGUAUAUACAAUAAUGGAGUUUUACU